UCGGAUCAGGUAGGAAUACCCGCUGAACUUAAAAUU
This 36-nucleotide ribosomal RNA is filed under the name uncultured Valsa. Its description in RNAcentral is "partial 28S ribosomal RNA". The record is from RNAcentral. Lineage: Eukaryota; Fungi; Ascomycota; Sordariomycetes; Diaporthales; Cytosporaceae.